RNAcentral lists this non-coding RNA (122 nucleotides) under Croceibacter atlanticus HTCC2559. Its description in RNAcentral is "Bacteroidete tryptophan peptide leader RNA". It matches the Rfam family "Bacteroidete tryptophan peptide leader RNA". The record is from RNAcentral. Lineage: Bacteria; Pseudomonadati; Bacteroidota; Flavobacteriia; Flavobacteriales; Flavobacteriaceae.
UAUAAUCCUGAGUAUAUUUGGCGCAUAUUAUGAAAGCAAACAAUACAUCUUGGUGGUGGAACAACUCUAGACAAUAGUCGUGAGCCACGCUUAGUAUGUAAAUACAAUACCAAAAGCCUGUC